Molecule: long non-coding RNA, 1260 nt
Filed under: Selaginella moellendorffii
Lineage: Eukaryota; Viridiplantae; Streptophyta; Lycopodiopsida; Selaginellales; Selaginellaceae
Description: long non-coding RNA (SMOE_LNC001729)
Source: RNAcentral
CCGAGUGUCUUUUGCGAAGUUCCAAAAUAGAAGACACUGGACUUGUCUGCUGUGAAGAGAGCAACGCCUCGCUCGCAUUUCCAGUGGCCUGAAAAAAUUCGUCAUCGAGAGAAAGACGACCUUGGAAACCAUACCUCUACGAUUUCAACUUGAGGCGCCAGUCGUGUAUCAUAAACUUCAGAAAAGGUACUCUGUUCUAGCGUGUCUCCAGGCCCGUCUUCGUCCACGAGAGCCUGCUUUCUCGAAAGUUUUAUUGGCGUCGUUUGGUAUGCUGGCGAAGAAGUCGUAAGAUUCGCACUUUCCAAACUUUGGUGGCAACUGAUAUAUCGUCUCAGCGUCGGAGUGGAAGCGUCUUGGAUGUCCAGUGGCGUCCGUUCCGGCGAAGGCAAAUGCGAGCUGACGUCUCUGAAAGCACUCUCCCGAGCCUUCCUGGCGAUCUCUUGAGCGAUUUCUUUCGCAUCCUUGGAGCCAUCUCUGAGGCGAUGUACAACGAACUCCUGCCAGAUUGCUGCUGCGUUUUGGUUUCGGUGACAGCGUGCAGUACUUUCUCCCUGGCUGGAGAGUCGGGCUCAAACUCCUCCCUGUGAAAUCGCGGUUGCGUUUCAAAGACUUUGUUGCUGGUUGUUUCCCCCGAGAAUCUGGAGAGUGCGGCUUGUUGAUCAUCACCUUCUCGUGAAAUUGUCUAGUUUCUCUUGUGCUAGCAUGUACUGGUGGAGAACAGGACCCUGUUUCUUGUCUUCCCUUUGCCGGACCAGGCUUCAAAACUACAAUCCUCGUCGAACCAUUGUCAAUAGAGACUUUCUUUCGAGUUUCAGCACGUUGCCCUUCAUGUCCGUUCAACAAGAGAUGGAGAAGAGUUGGCGUCUUCAAAGGCUCCUCAUUCACAGGCUCCACUGGACUUUCAAACUGGAGAAAGCUGUCCUUACUCGGCUCGAGAGACCGCAUCGCUUCCAAAAGCUGCUGGGAUCGGUGCGUAACCCUCGGAGAGUAAUUCGGUGUUGUACCCUCCCGGAAAGUCUUGCCCAGCACUGACUUUGUGGCUCUUGAAAACUGGCCAGCUUCUUGCGACUGUGUCUCGAGAGUUUGUGCGAGACAGCUUCUAUCAUCUUCGCCCUUUCCAACGAAGAGCCGUUCCUCUUAAGCAUGUCACCCAUUGUCUCCACCGGCAUUGUCUCGAGACCCAUAAGUCUUGCCACUACACCCGGUGGUUUUGCUUUUGCACACGUUGAAAGAACGCUAUGCUUCGCAGCUGGAAUCUCA